This 494-nucleotide ribosomal RNA is filed under the name uncultured bacterium. RNAcentral's name for it is "bacterial SSU rRNA". It matches the Rfam family "Bacterial small subunit ribosomal RNA", at positions 28 to 490 of the family's 1533-position model. The record is from RNAcentral.
GACGAACGCUGGCGGCGUGCCUAAUACAUGCAAGUCGAGCGAGCGGAACCAACAGAUUUACUUCGGUAAUGACGUUGGGAAAGCGAGCGGCGGAUGGGUGAGUAACACGUGGGGAACCUGCCCCUAAGUCUGGGAUACCAUUUGGAAACAGGUGCUAAUACCGGAUAAUAAAGCAGAUCGCAUGAUCAGCUUUUGAAAGGCGGCGUAAGCUGUCGCUAAGGGACGGCCCCGCGGUGCAUUAGCUAGUUGGUAAGGUAACGGCUUACCAAGGCGACGAUGCAUAGCCGAGUUGAGAGACUGAUCGGCCACAUUGGGACUGAGACACGGCCCAAACUCCUACGGGAGGCAGCAGUAGGGAAUCUUCCACAAUGGACGCAAGUCUGAUGGAGCAACGCCGCGUGAGUGAAGAAGGUUUUCGGAUCGUAAAGCUCUGUUGUUGGUGAAGAAGGAUAGAGGUAGUAACUGGCCUUAUUUGACGGUAAUCAACCAGAAAG